Molecule: unclassified non-coding RNA, 148 nt
Organism: Pongo abelii (Sumatran orangutan)
Lineage: Eukaryota; Metazoa; Chordata; Mammalia; Primates; Hominidae
Rfam family: Metazoan signal recognition particle RNA
About the family: The signal recognition particle (SRP) is a universally conserved ribonucleoprotein. It is involved in the co-translational targeting of proteins to membranes. The eukaryotic SRP consists of a 300-nucleotide 7S RNA and six proteins: SRPs 72, 68, 54, 19, 14, and 9.
Source: Ensembl
GCUGGGCGUGGUGGCGCGCACCUGUAAUCCCAGCUACUUGGGAGGCUGAGGCAGGAGAAUCGCUUGAACCUUGGAGGUGGAGGUUGCAGUGAGCUGAGAUCGUGCCACUGCACUCCAGCCUAGGCGACAGAGCGGGACCCUGUCUCAA